This 427-nucleotide ribosomal RNA is filed under the name uncultured Acidobacterium sp. RNAcentral's name for it is "bacterial SSU rRNA". It matches the Rfam family "Bacterial small subunit ribosomal RNA", at positions 958 to 1385 of the family's 1533-position model. The record is from RNAcentral. Lineage: Bacteria; Pseudomonadati; Acidobacteriota; Terriglobia; Terriglobales; Acidobacteriaceae.
AACGCGAAGAACCUUACCUGGGCUCGAAGCACAGUGGACCGGGGUAGAAAUAUCCUUUUUCGCAAGAACUGCUGUGGAGGUGCUGCAUGGCUGUCGUCAGCUCGUGUCGUGAGAUGUUGGGUUAAGUCCCGCAACGAGCGCAACCCUUAUCGUUAGUUGCCAGCGGGUUAUGCCGGGCACUCUAGCGAAACCGCCUCGGAUAACGGGGAGGAAGGUGGGGAUGACGUCAAGUCCUCAUGGCCUUUAUGUCCAGGGCUACACACGUGCUACAAUGGCCGGUACAAACCGUCGCAAACCCGCGAGGGGGAGCUAAUCGGAAAAAGCCGGCCUCAGUUCGGAUUGGAGUCUGCAACUCGACUCCAUGAAGCUGGAAUCGCUAGUAAUCGCGGAUCAGCACGCCGCGGUGAAUACGUUCCCGGGCCUUGUA